Molecule: signal recognition particle RNA, 302 nt
Filed under: Nicotiana attenuata
Lineage: Eukaryota; Viridiplantae; Streptophyta; Magnoliopsida; Solanales; Solanaceae
Description: SRP RNA Plant_SRP
Rfam family: Plant signal recognition particle RNA
Source: Rfam by way of RNAcentral
ACCGAGCUCAUUAACAUGGGCUUAUAACUCAAGUGGGGCAUUAAUGUGGUGGAAUGUUGGGCUGUUCCAGAAGGUUGGAUUUGGUGAGCUCAAAUCUGGCCUGCCCUGUCCAAGCGCAGAGCUGGGUCACGUGGCCCAAGCAAAGGCAUGGGCUGAUUGACUCCUAAAGUAGGGUGGACCGCGUGAGGCUGGUUUCACAAAGCAACGAACAGCUCCCGCUCUGUGCAGUGGAAGGAUAACGGGCCGAUGCUUUCCAAGUCCAGCAACGCCUGAUGGGCUGCUCCAAUUAGACCACUAUUUUA